This 4075-nucleotide small RNA is filed under the name Pongo abelii (Sumatran orangutan). Its description in RNAcentral is "processed transcript". Lineage: Eukaryota; Metazoa; Chordata; Mammalia; Primates; Hominidae. The record is from RNAcentral.
AGAGCUUCAGCUGCAGCAAGAAAGAUUUCCUUCAGAAACUGGCAUAUUUGAAUCAUUAGGAGUUCAAUUUUCAAUUUUUUUUUUUUUUAUUUUUUUGAGACAGAAUCUUGCUCUGUUGCCCAGGCAGGAAUGCAGUGGCGCAAUCUCAGCUCACUGCAACCUCUGCCACGCAGGUUCAGGCACCUGCCUCAGCCUCCUGGGUAGCUGAAAUUACAGCUGCACACCACCACACCCAGCUAGUUUUUAUAUUUUUAGUAGAGACAGGGUUUCACCAUGUUGGCCAGGCUGGUCUCAAACUCCUGACCUCAACUGAUCCACUCAACUCAACCUCCCAAAGUGCUGGGAUUACAGGCAUGAGCCACCAGGCCUGGCCUGAUUUUUUUUUUAAUUUUGUUAUUCUCGAGUUUUUAAAUUUUAAAUUUGUGUCAGUGCCCAUUAGUCUCUAUAAACCUAUCAGUGCAGGAGCACCUUAGAUUUAAAAUACUUUAUAAAUAAAUUCAUUAACCUGGUAAUAUUUUGUGUUAAAAUUUCUUUUCAGACUAAAUAUUCCUAGUGUAUACACAGAAAGCCAGAUUUGGUGGCCAACUGAAAAAAUUGACUAAUGGAGAAUUAAAGUUUUGUUUUUCUUCUGUCACUCCAUAUAAAUGUUAAAACCAUGUUGAAUUAAGAUUUCUCUGAAGGCGCUUCUAUAAUUCUGAAAUACAUUUAGUGUAAAUAAAAGCCUGCCACUUUACAUAUAGGCAGAGCAGCUAGGGCUGUAAUAUGCCUACAUAUCAGAAGCCUUGGUUCUUAUAAGGGUGGAUGGGAGGUAUUACCUGUGUCAAAAUCAUAGUCACUGUACUUAACUCAGGACAGACACAGGAGUUCCUUUUACUGCUGAAAGACCUACUUACUGCUGAAAGACCUACUUACAUGACUAUGCCGUAAUAUGUAUGAAGGUAAGCCAAGGAGAUAUGAGCAGUUGCUUCCCUUCUCCUGUCAUAUUCAAGAGAAACAAAAUAGCCAAUAAAUCAAAUCUGACAACUCCACCCAACUCAAGUUUCCAUAAUCUCAAGGAAGUUGCUGGCCAGAAAUAGAACACAAAAUCAGUUAUGAGUUGUGGAACCUCAGACAACCUAGAUUAAACCAAAUAAACUUAGUGAGAACUCAGUGAAAGCAGCUAGGAUUUACUGCUGAGAAAGGGUCUUGAGGGACCACCGGGCACCUGUCCUGAGUACAAGGGCUGGAAGAGCAGGCUUUCUCUGCAGGAGCUCCUCAGCACUGGCGUGGGGAGAGGCAGGCAUCAGGUUAGAUUGUUGGUUCCUCCGUCUGUCAUCAAAGCCUGAGGUAAAGGCCACCAGAGCUACUGAAAGGAGAAAAGUUGAGCUUAUUUACUGGCCAGGCAAUGAAACACAGAAGGGAAGACAUUCACUUAGGCAGUUUGCUGAGUAGGAAGAGUCAGGAAUUUUUAAGUGUUAGGAAAAGUGGUUCUGCUCAUUGUAAUUAGGAUUAAAAAGUAGCAUUUCAUGUAGCAUGGAAUAAUUCUGGAAUGUGGAUGUGUACACUUUUAAUAAGCUUGAUUGUUCAUUGGUCAAGAAAAGAGCAUUCAGGUAGAUCCAUCAAGAUCUCUACCUGGUUACUCAUAUUGCCUGGUCAUUGAUUGCCUUCAGCUGACUAGACCCAGUUGUGAUAAAACAAUAUACUCAAUGUUGACAUCUCCUACACAAGAGGCACUAUAAGUAGAAAUUUCUUCUUUUACACUGAUUUUUGGGGAAAAUUUUAUUUACACUAAUUAUGGAAAUAGGUUGGGAGUACCAGGAGGGAGCAUCCUUUAAAGUCAUUGGGGACCUGGGCUCUAUGUUGUCCAUUGCUGAAAGCCUACUGCCUCCUAGAAAUUCUGUCAUAGAGUAAUCUAACAAUCUUUGUUGAGUGGGGAGACAGCAGUUCAGGUGUGUCACAUACUGUUUCACUACCCUCUCAUGCUCCUCCCUACACCAGGGCUUCUCUGUUCACUCCAAAUAACUGCUUUCUCAAUCCAUCCCCUUGUCCUCAUAGGGAAAUAAGGAAGGACAUUUCCACAUGAGUCCUAGGGUUAGACAUCUUUCCAUCAAAGAAGAAAGUACUUGUGGACAUGAUUUAUCUCAGUGUGCAUGGUUGUGAGUUAGAAGCAGAUCCAGAGCCAGAGCUCUACCUCGAUCCUUUCUGCCCUCCGGGUUUCUCCAGUCAGAAAUUCCCCAUGCAGCAUGUGCUGUGUAAUCAUCCCCCCUGGAUCUUCACAUGCUUGUGUGCAGAAGGUAACAUCCAGCCUGGGGAUCCGGGCCCAGGGGACCAGGAGAAGCAGCCACAAGCCUCUGAGGGGAGACCCUGGAGUGAUCAAGCAGAAGGUCCCGAGGGAGAAGGUGCCAUACCUUUGUUUGGAAGAACAAAGAAAAGGACUCUGGGAGCGUUCUCCAGGCCACCCCAGAGGCAGCCAGUCAGCUCUCGGAAUGGCCUCAGAGGGGUGGAGUUAGAAGCCAGCCCAGCUCAGACAGGGAACCCUGAGGAAACGGACAAAUUGUUGAAGAGGAUAGAAGUCUUAGGAUUUGGAACAGUCAACUGUGGAGAGUGUGGACUGAGCUUUAGCAAGAUGACAAACCUGCUCAGUCACCAGCGGAUACACUCAGGGGAGAAGCCCUACGUGUGCGGAGUAUGUGAGAAGGGCUUCAGCCUAAAGAAGAGCCUCGCCAGACACCAGAAGGCACACUCGGGGGAGAAGCCGAUUGUGUGCAGGGAGUGUGGACGAGGCUUUAACCGGAAGUCAACGCUAAUCAUACACGAGCGGACACACUCUGGUGAGAAACCUUACAUGUGCAGUGAGUGUGGGCGAGGCUUCAGCCAGAAGUCAAACCUCAUCAUACACCAGAGGACACACUCGGGGGAAAAGCCUUAUGUGUGCCGGGAAUGCGGCAAAGGCUUCAGCCAGAAGUCAGCUGUCGUGAGACACCAGAGGACACACUUGGAGGAAAAGACCAUCGUGUGCAGUGACUGUGGCCUGGGCUUCAGCGACAGGUCAAACCUCAUCUCCCACCAGAGGACACACUCUGGGGAGAAGCCCUACGCCUGCAAGGAGUGUGGGCGAUGCUUCAGGCAGAGGACCACCCUUGUCAACCACCAGAGGACACACUCAAAGGAGAAGCCCUAUGUGUGCGGGGUGUGUGGGCACAGCUUCAGCCAGAAUUCAACCCUCAUCUCUCACAGGCGGACGCACACUGGGGAGAAGCCGUAUGUGUGUGGCGUGUGUGGGCGAGGCUUUAGUCUCAAGUCACACCUCAACAGACACCAGAACAUACACUCAGGGGAGAAGCCCAUUGUGUGCAAGGACUGUGGCCGGGGCUUCAGCCAGCAAUCCAACCUCAUCAGACACCAGAGGACGCACUCAGGGGAGAAGCCCAUGGUGUGUGGGGAGUGCGGGCGAGGCUUCAGCCAGAAGUCAAACCUUGUUGCACACCAGAGGACGCACUCAGGGGAGAGGCCGUAUGUGUGCCGGGAGUGUGGGCGAGGCUUUAGCCACCAGGCCGGUCUCAUCAGGCACAAGCGCAAGCACUCGAGGGAGAAGCCCUACAUGUGCAGGCAGUGUGGACUGGGCUUUGGCAAUAAGUCAGCUCUAAUCACACACAAGCGGGCUCACCCGGAAGAGAAGCCUUGUGUGUGCAGAGAGUGUGGCCAAGGCUUUCUCCAAAAGUCACACCUCACCUUACAUCAAAUGACACAUAAGGGGGAGAAGCCGUAUGUGUGCAAGACGUGUGGGCAGGGCUUCAGCCUCAAGUCUCACCUCAGCAGACACAGGAAGACCAAGUCUGUCCACCACAGACUGCCACUGCAGCCCGACCCUGAGCCGUGUGCGGGGCACCCUUCCAAUUCCUUAUACUGUCUCUGAAGGCAAAGAUAGGGACAAGGACUAAGAGUCAGAAUGUUGACACUUUGAUGAAAUGGGGUAGAGAAAUGCAUUCUGUAAGUGGUCAAAGGACAUUUGACUGUUUACUUUCUCCACACUAAGUCUUCUCCAUGUUUUGUGGCCUUCGGUUGUAAUAAACUUGGCUUCUUUAUACAUCUGUAA